UUAAACCCAUUCGCACGCUCCAGCAUCUCAUACGGUUCGGAGAACACGCGGCGCGUCCUCCGAAUGCGCGAACGGGGCGCGGACAAAACGAGCCUGGACAGAAGCCGGACUCUACCGCUUCACGGUGCUACGCUGUGCUGUAGUUUGUGGUGUGCUAGACUGCUAGUCAUGGAACUGCUGCCAUUUCUGAGGAUGCUUCUGAGCUUCAAGGAAUUGCUACCAUUUUUUUAAUAGUGUUAGUUGGUUGGAGCAAAUCGGAGAUUUGGAUCAGAAUUGGUUGUGCUUGGACAAAAAAUGCUGUAGCCCUAUUAGCAAAUCAAUCUUAAUGUCGUGCUGCCUUUUACCCUCUUCUCUAGGAGAUCAUUGGUUCUAAUUUGAAUCCUCAUUUUACGAGAAAAGGAUUUUAUCUGAAGUUCAGCCUACACGAUAGGUACCGAUUUGCUUUAGUUUUUCUGUAUUUCCUCAUUCUUUUCUAUUCUCAAGUGUUUAUGGAAAAUAGUGGGCAUGCCUCCACAGACCAAGAAUAGGAUCUGUGAGAAGCAUUCAGAAAAGGAAAAGAAAGGAAAAAAAAUGUCCUGUAGGAGGGGAGGACUGAGGACACCAUACAAAAAACUCGGUUUGAGCCAUGGCCAUAGAGCAAAAGCUUAAACUUUCUUGAUGUUGAUUUUUAGUCAUAUAGUUCCAAAAAUUCUCUUCCUACAUUCGUUUACUUUGAGAAAAUUCAGUAUUAUCCAAGUUCAUACUUGAUGAGAAAGGUUUCAUGGCUACAAUUUAAAUAGGAAUAUAUGACAUUCAAUUUUGACAUAUUCCCAGGAGCAUAUAUUACUUUACUAAGUAAUAAUCAGACGUUCACUAUAUAAGAAGGAAAGAACCAGGAAAAGAAUAUCUGGAGUUGCAUUUUUUUUUUUUUUUUUUUGAGGAAGUCUGUAGUUGCAUUUUGAAAUACCUCUUUCGUAGCAUAAGAUAGAACUUUGGGUCGCAAAAGGGUGUAUUCCUUUAAGUCCCGGUAGUAGCUUUAAUAUUUUGUUCUUGUUGUAAAUCAAGCAUACUGUAAGCGGGUAUGAUUGGCUUUUCAUUUCAUGCACAAUCCUGUGGUUAGCAAUAGUGAGGCAGAGAGGAUAUAGAAAGGGGUUUGGGGUUGUGGAGACAGAGAGGAGAGAAAUAAGAAAGUGCGUGCAUUUUAAUGAUUUAACGAUCUGAAUGUUCUAUUCAGAAAAGAAUUUCUUGGCAUCAUGUUUCCACAGGAGGGCACAUUGUAAAUCAAGCAUACUCCUGCUUGAUAUAAGGUCUUAGGAGUGGGGCUGCAACUUGGGUGAGCUCAGAAUGAGCUUUUCUUUUUUCUUUUUCUUUUAUUUUUUUUAAUUUGAGUGGGCCUGGGCCCGAUGUUGUGUAAAUUCUUAAUUCAGGUAUCCAACUUGCACCCCUUCUUAGGAGUAUCAGUUAUAGUUGGACUGCUGGUUACUUUCUUGGUGCAAGGUUCUUCCACGUGUUCUGUGUUCUACUUUUAGCCUCAGGUAGAGGAUCCUACGGACAUUUAGUGACCUAAUCUUAUAGAAUGUAGAUUAGGAAGGCGAUCUAGAUGAUUAUAAGUUGACUACUGGGUAUUGCUCACCUGUUGAUGGGAAUCUAGUCAUAUGGAGAAGUAAGAAGUAUUCUAUACUCUGUUGUUGCACAUCUAGUAUUGAAACCAAAUAUAGAACGAUGACUCAUGCACUUCUGACCUGCUAUAGGUGAAAAUUUUGUUAAUUGGGCUGGGUCUUGUUGUUGUAAAAAUUGCAAAGCUAAUAAACACCUAGGAUUCUUGAUAUAAUAUUUCCAGCAAUCCUAGUAAACAUAAAAAAGACUAUUUGCCAAUACUGGUUCCUGUUAUCCAGGCUCAAACUUAUCAGCCUGAUGUUUUACCAUCACAACAAAGAAUCCUGUUCAAUAUGAUGGGACAAAACACAUUGAAGUUGAAGGACAAUUUAUAAGAGAGUAUUAUUUCUCAAAAAGUGUAAAGGGUCAUUACCUAAUGCCAAAUAUUUUCUUGCAUGAAGUAGCUUUUCUCAUUCUCAACCCACAUUCUCAUUCUUGUCAAUCUGAACCAUGUUAAAUCCUUGGAUUUGUAUGUUUGCUACUCUGAUAUUAUUUUCUCUGUUUUGUUAUUAUUGUCAACCUGUAUGGUCAUGCUUAUCAGCCCAAGAUUUUACUGAUCCACCAAGAAGUUUGUUUAGCACUGAUAAAGAUAAAAUACCAUCUAAUAAACAUUCUGGCUAAGGUAGUACUUUGGUCAAAGCUAGAGUAUAUCUUUAGCAAGUUGAACAUGAUUGACAACUAUUCUCUGCUUGAAAAGGAGCUUAGGGAUUAUAGCAUAGGUAUAGUAAAAUUUUAAUGGCAAUAUUGUGAAUUUUCAAUGAUAAGACUAAUAAUGAUGGUGUUGAUUGUCCCUAACUCAGUUUUUUCUCCCCCACCACAUUCUUCUGUGUCUUCUCCUUCCCAAUUUCUUAAUGAUAGACAAAUCUAGUAUAGGGCCUAAGAGUUAUAUACUGGAGUUAUUUAUUUUAUUUGGUCUUUGGCCCAUGGUUUGCAAAUAGUUUCUUUGAGGGGAAUUGCUUGUAUGUUCUCCCUCAUAGUUCUAACUUUUCUUGGGUUCUUCUAUAAGAUGAGUUAUUACACUUGGUAGCUUUCAUUCAGAUGAUACAUGAGAAGAUGUAUAUGGAACUAAUACUUCUUGGGAUUGCAUAGUUGCUCUUCUCCUGUUAUCUCCAGUAGUCUCUCAAGAAGCAAGGCGCCAUUACUUGGUGUAAUGGUAAAAUAUCGGGAUGGCAAGUAUGAGAAUGCAGGUUCAAGAGUUGUCUGAAUUUUGAAGUUAUUGGGAAAGUUGAAUGUAUAAUCUUUUGUCUUUAUAUAGAAAGAAUUUAAGUAGGUUUCAUCAUCUUUUGCAUCAAACAGCAUAGCAUCACUUGGUCUCUCUUGAUAGUUAGCAUGCUAUACAUCACUGUAAAUACCUCAUAGACAAAAAACCAUGUAACUUCUGAAUAUGUGGCUUUUCCCCGUUCUUGUUUUAUACCUUAACAUGAUCACAAUCUUAUCAGGAAGAAAGUGCCACACAUUCUCUGUAAUUUUCUAGUCACAGAUAUAUACACAAAAAAAAAGGAAAAACGUUGGAUAAACAUGGAUAGUUAAAAUGAAGUUCAUCUUUGAUUUUCACUGUGCACUUGCAUCUAUUGGCUCUUGGAAUAUGGUACUAUGUUACCCAGAUAUGGCAAAGAUACGGCUGGACAUGGUGUCUGAUACAAAAUUUACACUAAAAAUUAAUUGACAAGAAACGGAACCCUUGUACAGAUAUCUAGGUAACAUAAUGUUUUUUUGGUAGAACCUAUUUAUCAUAUUUAUGGUAACAUUCUGAAAAAGCAAAUCUACAUUUUGAUUCAAAACCAAUGGAUAUUGAUGUACUAACUGGAUACCUGGCACCAUGAAUUUGUGCUUGCUUUAAGAUGAAGAAUGAAAGGAUGCACUACAGACUUAUGGAUUGCUACUACUAUGAAUGAGUGGUAUCUCAACUCUGAAGGAAAGUGUGAUGCUUUCUCCUAGUAUUGAUGCCAAGAACCUUCCAGAGUGAUUCUACACAUCCUACAGCCAGUCCCAGAGGAAAAUUUAAGCCCCAUUAAACCCCAAUUUUCAAAACCGUAAUUAUGAACUUCUAACCCAAUUUAACUUCUUUACCUUUCUAGUUUUCCUUUGGUCCUCUUGAAUAGAGUUCUUUCUUCUUUUCUGCCAAAUAUCCAGUGUAUCAUAUAUGCUUCAAAUCUCCUUUCAUGUUAAAUAUCCUGAUAAACCAUGUAGUUGGCGCAUCCACAUGUUAAAUUACCUGAUUCAACUUUCAUUUUUUAGGAUUAAUCCUUUCUUGUUGUUGGCCUUUGCAUAACCAUUCUCUUAUGGACUGCUGCCAGCCUGCCAUAUUCUCCUAUUCCUGUUACUCUGAGGAACUCCUCGUGGAGUUUUUCCAUCCUGGUAUCUAUAGGGUCUUCCUUAGAUUGCUAGGUUCCAUUAUCAACUCCUUAAAGAUGCUAUUGAGUCUGGUAAGCCAAUCAAGACUCGGUUCAAUGUGUAACUUGGUCAACACUGAUACAAGUAUGAUCUAGUACUAGCUUGAGUUUGCAAGGUCCAUUGUGUCAGUGCAUAAAAUAUACAAAAUUUAGCCACAUUAUUCGUGGGAAAAUUGAAUCACACAAAAGAAGAAUAAGGUACUAUGCAUUUCUUACCAAUCAAAAGAAAUAAAAAAAAGAAAAGAAAAUUGUUAUGCUUUGUAGAGAUCAUAAACUUUAAUGAUGGCUUCCCUUGUGAAAAGAAAGGAGGAUAGAAAUGAUAGGGGAAGUGCGAAGGAGAGGGCAUGGAUAGUAAGGGUGUCAAUGGACUGGUUUUGGAUUGACCCCGUCCGGUCCGAAAU
Molecule: non-coding RNA, 4429 nt
Organism: Nelumbo nucifera (sacred lotus)
Lineage: Eukaryota; Viridiplantae; Streptophyta; Magnoliopsida; Proteales; Nelumbonaceae
Source: RefSeq, a predicted model, not a curated record